CGAUAGCGGAUAGUACCGUGAGGGAAUGGUGAAAAGUACCGCGGGAGCGGAGUGAAAUAGUACCUGAAACCGUGUGCCUACAAGCCGUGGGAGCGUCGGAGCAAGGCUUGCCUUGUUCUCGUGACUGCGUGCCUUUUGAAGAAUGAGCCUGCGAGUUUGCGGUGUGUUGCGAGGUUAACCCGGGUGGGGAAGCCGUAGCGAAAGCGAGUCCGAACA
RNAcentral lists this ribosomal RNA (216 nucleotides) under Streptomyces sp. NRRL F-7442. Its description in RNAcentral is "partial 23S ribosomal RNA". It matches the Rfam family "Bacterial large subunit ribosomal RNA", at positions 485 to 689 of the family's 2925-position model. Lineage: Bacteria; Bacillati; Actinomycetota; Actinomycetes; Kitasatosporales; Streptomycetaceae. The record is from RNAcentral.